RNAcentral lists this long non-coding RNA (313 nucleotides) under Dermacentor andersoni. RNAcentral's name for it is "uncharacterized LOC126531751". Lineage: Eukaryota; Metazoa; Arthropoda; Arachnida; Ixodida; Ixodidae. The record is from RNAcentral.
UAACAGUACAACAUGCAAAUGAUAUCAUUUGUGCACUCACGAUGGUAAUCUUUUAUAGUUCAUGACCGGGCAGUCACGACAGAGAAUCGAGAGAAUGCUCGACGAUGCACGACCACACGGCCACCACUCAGAGAGCUGCCAGUAAUGGAAAAUCAGCUGGACCCAACCAGCCAGAGUACAAGAUCCCCCUCCUAUUUGGAUCGUGUCCGUAGGGACUACCCAGCCCCACAAUACAACAGACGGACCCCAAUAAGAGGUGUGCAACGGCACAAUGAUAUGACAGCUGCAUAUCUUGAGUCACGGUCGCAGCGGG